Molecule: ribosomal RNA, 253 nt
Filed under: uncultured bacterium
Lineage: Bacteria
Description: partial 16S ribosomal RNA
Rfam family: Bacterial small subunit ribosomal RNA
Source: RNAcentral
GACAGAGGGUGCAAACGUUGUUCGGAAUUACUGGGCGUAAAGCGAGUGUAGGCGGUUCGGUAAGUCGGAUGUGAAAGCCCCGGGCUCAACCCGGGAAGUGCACUCGAUACUGCCGAGCUAGAGUGUCGGAGAGGUUGGUGGAAUUCUCGGUGUAGAGGUGAAAUGCGCAGAUAUCAGGAGGAACACCGGUGGCGAAGGCGGGACUCUGGGCCGAUACUGACGCUGAGGAGCGAAAGCGUGGGGAGCAAACAGG